GACGAACGCUGGCGGCGUGCUUAACACAUGCAAGUCGAACGGAAAGGCCUGCUUUCCCUUGUGGAUUGCGGGUACUCGAGUGGCGAACGGGUGAGUAACACGUGAGUGAUCUGCCCCCAACUUGGGUAUAAGCCUGGGAAACUGGGUCUAAUUCCCGAUAGGACUUCAGGGUGGUGCCUGUUGUGGAAAACGAUUUUCUAGUGGUUGGGGAUGAGCUCGCGGCCUAUCAGCUUGUUGGUGGGGUAAUGGCCUACCAAGGCGGCGACGGGUAGCCGGCCUGAGAGGGUGGACGGGCACAUUGGGACUGAGAUACGGCACAGAGUCCGACGGGAGGCAGCAGGGGGGAAGAUUGGACAAUGGGCGGAAGCCUGAUGCAGCGACGCAGGGUGGGGGAUGACGGCCUUCGGGUUGUAAACUCCUUUCGACCGCGAGGAAGCCACCUGGUUGGAAGGGUGGUGACGGUAGUGGUAGAAGAAGCACCGGCUAACUACGUG
This 494-nucleotide ribosomal RNA is filed under the name uncultured bacterium. Its description in RNAcentral is "partial 16S ribosomal RNA". It matches the Rfam family "Bacterial small subunit ribosomal RNA", at positions 28 to 507 of the family's 1533-position model. The record is from RNAcentral.